UUUGGAUUAUGGCUCAGAUUGAACGCUGGCGGCAGGCCUAACACAUGCAAGUCGAGCGGAUGACGGGAGCUUGCUCCUUGAUUCAGCGGCGGACGGGUGAGUAAUGCCUAGGAAUCUGCCUGGUAGUGGGGGACAACGUUUCGAAAGGAACGCUAAUACCGCAUACGUCCUACGGGAGAAAGCAGGGGACCUUCGGGCCUUGCGCUAUCAGAUGAGCCUAGGUCGGAUUAGCUAGUUGGUGGGGUAAUGGCUCACCAAGGCGACGAUCCGUAACUGGUCUGAGAGGAUGAUCAGUCACACUGGAACUGAGACACGGUCCAGACUCCUACGGGAGGCAGCAGUGGGGAAUAUUGGACAAUGGGCGAAAGCCUGAUCCAGCCAUGCCGCGUGUGUGAAGAAGGUCUUCGGAUUGUAAAGCACUUUAAGUUGGGAGGAAGGGCAGUAAGUUAAUACCUUGCUGUUUUGACGUUACCGACAGAAUAAGCACCGGCUAACUCUGUGCCAGCAGCCGCGGUAAUACAGAGGGUGCAAGCGUUAAUCGGAAUUACUGGGCGUAAAGCGCGCGUAGGUGGUUUGUUAAGUUGGAUGUGAAAGCCCCGGGCUCAACCUGGGAACUGCAUCCAAAACUGGCAAGCUAGAGUACGGUAGAGGGUGGUGGAAUUUCCUGUGUAGCGGUGAAAUGCGUAGAUAUAGGAAGGAACACCAGUGGCGAAGGCGACCACCUGGACUGAUACUGAC
Molecule: ribosomal RNA, 738 nt
Filed under: uncultured Pseudomonas sp.
Lineage: Bacteria; Pseudomonadati; Pseudomonadota; Gammaproteobacteria; Pseudomonadales; Pseudomonadaceae
Description: bacterial SSU rRNA
Rfam family: Bacterial small subunit ribosomal RNA
Source: RNAcentral